UCUAUGCUAGCAUAUAUUAAUGCCCUGAUUUUGUAAAUCAAUUAACCAUCAUAGAU
This 56-nucleotide transfer RNA is filed under the name Diurodrilus subterraneus. Its description in RNAcentral is "tRNA-Thr". Lineage: Eukaryota; Metazoa; Annelida; Polychaeta; Eunicida; Diurodrilidae. The record is from RNAcentral.